RNAcentral lists this ribosomal RNA (497 nucleotides) under uncultured bacterium. Its description in RNAcentral is "partial 16S ribosomal RNA". It matches the Rfam family "Bacterial small subunit ribosomal RNA", at positions 28 to 507 of the family's 1533-position model. The record is from RNAcentral.
GAUGAACGCUGGCGGCGUGCCUAAUACAUGCAAGUCGAGCGGACGGACGAGAAGCUUGCUUCUCUGAUGUUAGCGGCGGACGGGUGAGUAACACGUGGGUAACCUACCUAUAAGACUGGGAUAACUUCGGGAAACCGGAGCUAAUACCGGAUAAUAUUUUGAACCGCAUGGUUCAAAAGUGAAAGACGGUCUUGCUGUCACUUAUAGAUGGAUCCGCGCUGCAUUAGCUAGUUGGUAAGGUAACGGCUUACCAAGGCAACGAUGCAUAGCCGGCCUGAGAGGGUGAUCGGCCACACUGGAACUGAGACACGGUCCAGACUCCUACGGGAGGCAGCAGUAGGGAAUCUUCCGCAAUGGGCGAAAGCCUGACGGAGCAACGCCGCGUGAGUGAUGAAGGUCUUCGGAUCGUAAAACUCUGUUAUUAGGGAAGAACAUAUGUGUAAGUAACUGUGCACAUCUUGACGGUACCUAAUCAGAAAGCCACGGCUAACUACGUG